Molecule: ribosomal RNA, 253 nt
Filed under: uncultured bacterium
Lineage: Bacteria
Description: partial 16S ribosomal RNA
Rfam family: Bacterial small subunit ribosomal RNA
Source: RNAcentral
UACGAAGGGGGCUAGCGUUGCUCGGAAUCACUGGGCGUAAAGGGUGCGUAGGCGGGUUAUUAAGUCAGAGGUGAAAUCCUGGAGCUCAACUCCAGAACUGCCUUUGAUACUGAUAGUCUUGAGUAUGGGAGAGGUGAGUGGAACUGCGAGUGUAGAGGUGAAAUUCGUAGAUAUUCGCAAGAACACCAGUGGCGAAGGCGGCUCGCUGGCCCAUUACUGACGCUGAGGCACGAAAGCGUGGGGAGCAAACAGG